UCAGGGGGGAGUACGUUCGCAAGAGUGAAACUUAAAGAAAUCGACGGAAGGGCACCACAAGACGAGGAGCGUGCGGUUUAAUUUGACUCACCACGGGGAACUUUUACCAGAUCCGGACAGGGUGAGGAUUGACACAUUGAGUGUUCUUCCUCGAUCCCCUGAAUGGUGGUCCAUGGCCGCUUUUGGGCGGAGGAGUGAUUUGCUUGGUUGAUUCCGUCAACGGACGAGAUCCCAAUCUGCCCAGUAGGAUACAGGAUAGUCCAUAGGAUAGCAAUCCCUUCCGCGGGUUCUACCCAAGCCGGCGCGGUAUCCGAUUGUAUCUUUCUCUGCGGGAUUCCCCGUUUUGCACAAGGCCUCAAAUCGUCAGCAGCAGAAGUCAAUGCUCCUCAAUGUUAUGGGCGCCACGCGCACCCAAGCGCAGUG
This 423-nucleotide ribosomal RNA is filed under the name Trypanosoma minasense. RNAcentral's name for it is "partial small subunit ribosomal RNA". It matches the Rfam family "Eukaryotic small subunit ribosomal RNA", at positions 1113 to 1511 of the family's 1831-position model. The record is from RNAcentral. Lineage: Eukaryota; Euglenozoa; Kinetoplastea; Trypanosomatida; Trypanosomatidae.